Molecule: long non-coding RNA, 1579 nt
Filed under: Hordeum vulgare
Lineage: Eukaryota; Viridiplantae; Streptophyta; Magnoliopsida; Poales; Poaceae
Description: long non-coding RNA (HVUL_LNC007578)
Source: RNAcentral
AUUCAGUUUGCACCUGGUGACAUAGUAAAGGUAGCCUUGGGUGAUUACUAGUUAUAAAUGAUUCAUUUUCUUGUUGAUGCUGAUAUUCCUUUUUUAAUAGUGAACGGAGGGAGUACCUGACCUUAUGCCUGUCACAUUGCCAUGUUAUCUUCAUAUGGGUAUGUUACAAAUCUCUGCUAUUUGUUUAUUAAAUGAAGAAAGUAUAGCAGAUAUGAUGCUAAUUUUAUGGUGAUGUAUAAAAAAAAUAUUAGUAGUGCGAAGUUUAUGAAAAUGGUUGAGCCCCUAGGAGAGGCUGAUGGUGUUGUUUGAUACUUUGAUGCUAUGUUGUCCUAUGUAGUUAUGAAAUGUUUUAUGUCAAUUACUUCAUUGAGCUUGAGUGCAUGAAACGAGGGAUUAUACCAGACCUAUAUAGAUCUAGUUUGCUUUGUUAUUGCAGUUUUGUAAUAUGUUCCUCCUACACCGUGUAUAGUUACACUUACAUACAAAAAUGGUUCUUUAUUUCUCAAGUACUCUCAGUUCCUACCCAUCUUGUCCUUUCGGACGUGGAUUAGUUUGAUGCUAUCCUUGACAUGGAAAAAUAUGAGUUGGCUCCUGAGAUAGAAGAGGAAGAAGUAAGACGGUACCGACUCUGAGAAUCAAGCUAAUUUUGUUAUGUUCUCACUGCUCACAAUCUUUCCCAUAUAUUGUGGAUUCACUUGCCAAUACAGGAAGGCGAGAUAGAGUAUGUUGAAGGUGAUGAUAUCGAGAUGGGUGACAUGGAUGAUAUGGAAGAUUUUGAAGUUUUGGUGAUGAAGAUGGUAAACAUUUCCCUUGUUUCUAUUGAUUUUAAUUUUGCAUGUUAUAGAGUGCUCUGAUUUGCGGAGAUACUUCUCAUUUCGCUGUGUUCACUAGAUAAUGUAAAGAAACUUUACAUUUUCUGAAUUAUGGGCCUUGAAAUUCCAUUCUGACUUGUUUAAUUAAGUAUGCGGUGUAGAAAUAUUUAUUUGGACAAAAUGGUUAUUUCGCAUAGUAGUGCCAACUGCAAAUCUGACCUCCAUACAAAAUACAAAAUGAUUGAAGUAGUGGCCUAGGGGGGAUCAUACACCAUGUCCUCUAUAAACAUUGCUAAAAUUGAAUACAUCUUACUGUCUUGUCAGUUGUCACGUACGAUUUGAUGUCCAGCACAUAAAGUAGUAGUGGCCUGGGGGGAUCAGUAAUUAUGUUUUUCUCUUUAUGAAAGCUCUUUGGAUGAUUUCUUUAUUGUAGAGGUUCUCCCAAAAUAUGCGUUUGUUUCACAAUGUUAGUUUUUCUUUCAAAGUGAUUUCAUCGUGUCGUACACUAAUUUGAACUAGCACAAAUUCCUGUCAGAGCAUAAUUUGUUCCUCACCUUUCCGCAACAGGUGGAAGAAGACGAGGACAGGGGUAGCAGGCAAAGGACGCGAAUGUGAUUUUCCAGGCACGGCUUCAGUAACAUGCUUGGUGUCGAUGAUGUUGUACUUUAGAUAAUUUUGCCUGUGUUUCUCGUGAUGACCGCAACUCUCUUCUAUGUGAUGGUUGUUUAGAUGAUCGAUAUCGACUUGUAAUGUGAAGACAAACUCGC